This is a long non-coding RNA of Leucoraja erinaceus (little skate), 888 nucleotides long. RefSeq lists it as uncharacterized. The record is from RefSeq and is a predicted model, not a curated record. The transcript is spliced from 3 exons. Lineage: Eukaryota; Metazoa; Chordata; Chondrichthyes; Rajiformes; Rajidae.
GUCUCCGGCGCAGCGAAACUCAGCGGGUGAGGCAACAUCUAUGGAGCGAAGGAAAUAGGCAACGUUUCAGGUCGAAACCCUUCCUCAGACUCAAAUCUGAAAGUCACCUAUUCCUUUGCUCCAUAGAUGCUGCCUCACCUGCUGAGUUUCUCCAGCAUUUUUGUCUACCAUAGAUCCAUUGAAGAUAUUUGGGCAGGUACAUGAUGGGAGAGUUUUGGAGCGAUAUGGGGAAAACGUGGGCAGGUGGGACUAUUGUAGAUGGGACAUUCUGGGUUGGCAUGGGGAACCUGGGCCAAAGGGCCUGUUUCCGUGCUGCCUGGCUCAACGAUGGAACCCAAACAAGAUGACAGAGAAAAUUGUAUCUUUUAAGAUUAGCGAGGACGAGAAAAAUGCAGUCAACCCACCUGAAGGAGUGGUGGGACCAGUUCAACUGGAAUUCCACCAGUCUUUGUCAGCCUCAUUGCUUGAGGGCCUCAAGGAGAAAAGGCAGGGAGAAAAGCGUCACGAAAACCACGAAACACGACACCUCCCAUUGCCACAUAAGGAACCUGUUACUAUAUCACAAAAAAUCAUAACCGAUGUGGGUCAGAAGGAGCAGGUACCAGACGAGGAGAUAACCUGCCCCAGCUAACAAUCCCAAAGUACUUCUUCAACCAACGUUCGAAUUUGAGAAAGGAUUAAAUAUCGAACGCUUAUUUCAACGAGAGAAUCUCGCUGAGUCACAGAGUGACUACACCAUGGAGCAGCCUCAUUAUCUCUUGUUACUGCUAAUUAUAGGUUCCACCACACUACAGGCAGCAGCACAAAGUAGUACAUCUGAACCAACAACUUAUACAACAGAAUCACCGACUACAUCUGAACCAACAACUUAUACAACAGAAUCACCGA